UGGUGCUUGCAUCAUGAGUUACAUUUGAGUGAGUGGCGAACUGGUGAGURACACGUGGGAAACCUGCSCAGARGCGGGGGAUAACACSUGGAAACAGAUGCUAAUACCGCAUAACAACUUGGACCGCAUGGUCCGAGCUUGAAAGAUGGCUUCGGCUAUCACUUUUGGAUGGUCCCGCGGCGUAUUAGCUAGAUGGUGGGGUAACGGCUCACCAUGGCAAUGAUACGUAGCCGACCUGAGAGGGUAAUCGGCCACAUUGGGACUGAGACACGGCCCAAACUCCUACGGGAGGCAGCAGUAGGGAAUCUUCCACAAUGGACGAAAGUCUGAUGGAGCAACGCCGCGUGAGUGAAGAAGGGUUUCGGCUCGUAAAACUCUGUUGUUAAAGAAGAACAUAUCUGAGAGUAACUGUUCAGGUAUUGACGGUAUUUAACCAGAAAGCCACGGCUAACUACGUGCCAGCAGCCGCGGUAAUACGUAGGUGGCAAGCGUUGUCCGGAUUUAUUGGGCGUAAAGCGAGCGCAGGCGGUUUUUUAAGUCUGAUGUGAAAGCCUUCGGCUCAACCGAAGAAGUGCAUCGGAAACUGGGAAACUUGAGUGCAGAAGAGGACAGUGGAACUCCAUGUGUAGCGGUGAAAUGCGUAGAUAUAUGGAAGAACACCAGUGGCGAAGGCGGCUGUCUGGUCUGUAACUGACGCUGAGGCUCGAAAGUAUGGGUAGCAAACAGGAUUAGAUACCCUGGUAGUCCAUACCGUAAACGAUGAAUGCUAAGUGUUGGAGGGUUUCCGCCCUUCAGUGCUGCAGCUAACGCAUUAAGCAUUCCGCCUGGGGAGUACGGCCGCAAGGCUGAAACUCAAAGGAAUUGACGGGGGCCCGCACAAGCGGUGGAGCAUGUGGUUUAAUUCGAAGCUACGCGAAGAACCUUACCAGGUCUUGACAUACUAUGCAAAUCUAAGAGAUUAGACGUUCCCUUCGGGGACAUGGAUACAGGUGGUGCAUGGUUGUCGUCAGCUC
RNAcentral lists this ribosomal RNA (1013 nucleotides) under Lactobacillus sp. 690B1_12EGalle. RNAcentral's name for it is "bacterial SSU rRNA". It matches the Rfam family "Bacterial small subunit ribosomal RNA", at positions 74 to 1061 of the family's 1533-position model. The record is from RNAcentral. Lineage: Bacteria; Bacillati; Bacillota; Bacilli; Lactobacillales; Lactobacillaceae.